Molecule: transfer RNA, 72 nt
Filed under: Toxocara canis (dog roundworm)
Lineage: Eukaryota; Metazoa; Nematoda; Chromadorea; Rhabditida; Toxocaridae
Rfam family: tRNA
About the family: Transfer RNA (tRNA) molecules are approximately 80 nucleotides in length. Their secondary structure includes four short double-helical elements and three loops (D, anti-codon, and T loops). Further hydrogen bonds mediate the characteristic L-shaped molecular structure. tRNAs have two regions of fundamental functional importance: the anti-codon, which is responsible for specific mRNA codon recognition, and the 3' end, to which the tRNAs corresponding amino acid is attached (by aminoacyl-tRNA synthetases). tRNAs cope with the degeneracy of the genetic code in two manners: having more than one tRNA (with a specific anti-codon) for a particular amino acid; and 'wobble' base-pairing, i.e. permitting non-standard base-pairing at the 3rd anti-codon position.
Source: Rfam by way of RNAcentral
CGGGCAGUAGCUCAGUGGUAGAGCUCUCGCUUCAUGCGUGGGAAAACCUAGGUUCGAUUCCCGGCUGCUUAC